Bicyclus anynana (squinting bush brown) is the source of this 9340-nucleotide RNA transcript. RefSeq lists it as uncharacterized. The record is from RefSeq and is a predicted model, not a curated record. NCBI's taxonomy places the organism in Eukaryota, Metazoa, Arthropoda, Insecta, Lepidoptera, Nymphalidae. The transcript has 9 exons.
UCAAUAACAUUUUAUCAAUUUUUUUUUGUACUACGGUACAAAAAAAUUAAUAAAAUGUUAUUAAUUUUUUUAAAUUAAUAAAAUGUUAUUAAUAUAUAUUUAUAAAUUGAUAAAAUGUUAUUAAUUUUUUCGGGAUUGAUGUUUUCUUCUGUAAUUUUAUUAAGUAAACGUAGCUCUGCGGCACGUAGCACGUAGCUCGUAGCUUGGAGCUCGUAGCACGGAGCACGGAGCUGGUAGCACGGAGCACGGAGCUCGUAUCACGGAGCACGGAGCACGGAGCUCGUAGCACGGAGCACGACUGCUGCAUAAACCUGCCACUUACUUCUUUCGUUCUUAUAAUUAUAAAUCAUAUUUUUGGUACUCAGAUUAUUUCAAGUGCCUUUUAUUAUGUGUGGGACGUCAUAUAUACUCGUAUUUUCUGCCCAUUUACGGAAAAUAUGUCAUGUCGCCAUUUUUUGGCUACUCUUAAAAAUGAAUGACCUAAUUAAUUCAGUUAUUGCGCUUAUCGAAACAAGACGGGCGCAAUCCACGGCAAGGUGAGUGUGUUCGCCCCAGUCGCGCCACGGUGCCCUGAGCGUGGCCUUGGACAUAAUUAGUUCCGAUACAAUAUCAAGACUAAAUAAAAUAAAAUAAAAAAUAAAAAUAGCUUUAUUUCCUUACAAUUACAGACAUUUUUUUGAAAAUUAUUAUUAAGGUUUACAAGUUUUAUACAUUGUUAGUAGGUUAGUUGAUAUUAUCUAAUUUUUUUUUUAUAUUAUGUUAGUAAUGUUAAUUUUUCAUUUUAUUAUUCUUUUUUGUAAGGACUGCAUAUAGCAGUGAAAGCCUCCUCCAAUUGUAGCCACUGUAUUUUGUCUCUGGCUGUUCGUUGCCAUGUUUUACCUGCAACCCUGACUAUAUCGUCACUCCACCUUCUUAAUGGUCUACCCCGUUUGCGUUUUGAGUCUCGUGAUGUAUACACGACACGAGAUAUCAAGACUAGAGACUGUAAAAUCAACUUGACGUGGUGUGCUAGGGACUGGUGAAUAUAUUGGGCCAGAUGCUGUUUUUUUCAUUUCCACUGAUGGGUCAGGGGCUGGACAAUUGACUGAGCUAGAAGUUGUUGUUCUUUCUUCAAUAAUGACAAGCGUCAUCAUAAGGAAAACAAACAAAGGUCAUUCAUUUUCAGAAAGUGUGUUCAAAGUGUGUUUCCCUGCAAAUGUGGUAUAAAACGUUGUUUGACAUACGUGCGCUUUGAUAAUUACAGCCUCUGCUUCCUUACUAGCUCUCGCCUGUGGCUCGAUCUGCAAUAUCGCCUCGGCUGUAAUUUUCAACUUACCGCACUUAUAUCAUAAUGUACUGUUAUUGAAUCUUUUCUGUAGACUUGAGAAAUUAAUAUUCGAAACUUUAGCAGCUUUUCGUAUAGAAAAACCAUCUAAAAUAAGUUUGACCGCCUUGUCUAAAGUAUCCGAAGACCAGGAAGCCUUUGUAGUGGUUCUCAUUCGUACUUUCGCCAUUUAACACGUUCGCUGCGGUACGAGGUCAAUUGACCUCGUAUGCCUAGUGUGUUCAAGAGUUACGAGGUCGAUUGACCUCGUACCGCACCAGAGGAAAGUACAGAAAAAUCAGUGCCGCAGCGAAAGUGUUAAAACCAAAAUAACGAUUAGGAUAUCGUGGGUAGAUCCUAAAUGAAACUCGUACUGUUGUUCACUCGUGUAUUGAAAUUAAUCGGUAAUCUUAAAUGAUACUACACUAAAGUUAAUGUACAAGUAACACUUUCAACGUGUUCAAACGAGUUGAAUCAAAGAAGUUCAGACGGAACCCAUCGCCAUAGAAUGAACCACGAAUUGGCAAACCUAGUGAAAGGCGAAAAUAGUGCGUCAUUGUAAAACCCAACGUCUUCAGUGGCUAGGACACGUGGAGAGGAUGCCAAAUACUAGAGGGCCUAAAGUGAUGACAAAAUGGAGGCCACAGGUAAAAAGAUUAAAAGGAAGACCUAAAAAAAGAUGGCUAGAUUGUGUGAAAGAGGACCUGCAAAAAAUGGAAAAAAUAUCUGGGUAGGAAAGAAAGGCAAGGCAUAGAAAUGGAUGGAGAAAAGUGGUAGAGGAGGCCAAGACCCACAAAGGGUUGUAGCGCCGAAGGAAGUAAGUAACUCUUUCAACGUUACACAACACGGCGGAUACGUGUCGUAUCGCUCGCGGUUAGGGUCGUACUGUCUCUGUCUGGUCAAUAUGACGGGGAAUAUUAGCGUCCCUUUUCAUUUCCCGCGCUGGUUGACGGGCAAUGUUGCCAACAUAAAAAAUGUAACGCAUGCGUUCAGAAGCCGCCUUAAUAUAGCUUUUGCGGGAAAGUGAUCACUAGCGGGCAAUGGGAGUCACCCGAUUCUCAUUACUAAUAAACGGCUUUAUUGAAUUAAUUAGUCGAUCUUUUUACUCACACUGGUUGUACAAUGACACCGGAAGAAAGUAUCAAUCGACAAUAGACUUAAGCAUAGAUUAUAAACAUAGAUUAUACACAUACUCGGAGGAUACAUAGUUUAGUAUUUUGGUGAUACCAAUUUCUAACAAUUACCAACCCUGAUUUUAUUCCGUAACAGUUAAGUGCGGAUCAAGCAGCAAGAACUCGCGGCACAUUGCUGCUCAGUAGCCAGCCAGGAGGUCGAUGGACCUCGUACCGGACCACAUAAAGUUCUAGUAUGAGGUCAAAAAACCUCGUACCGCACCAAAGGAAAGUACAGAAAAUCAGUGCCGCACCAAACGUGUUAAGAAACAAAAAAAAAAUAAACACGAAAUAUAUAUUGGCAACGCUCGGGUUUUAAGUAUGUAAUCAUAAUACUGAAUGUACAAGUAAAGACAUGAAGUAACAGUUUUUGUUUGUUUUUGGUUAAAAAUGGAAAUUCACACACACUAUGUGUGUGAAUUUCCAUUUUUAACCGACUUCAAAAAAAGGAGGAGGUUAUCAAUUCGUCGAAAUCUUUUCGAAGCGAGUCACGAAUGCAGAGUUACUCAGCGGGCGAUAGAACGAGCUAUGUUAGGAGUAUCUCUGCGUGAUCGUAUCGCAUAUGGCGACAGGCGGGGCACAUAGUUCUGUAAUAUUGUUUAUUUAUUAAAUAAACCAUGUAACCAUAUUCAAGCUUGGUUUUAUUAUGUCACCACAGAUCCAUCUUGUCUCGUAUUGUAUAAAUCUUCAAUAGUAGGUAUAUAACAAUAUUAUUUAGAUCUUUUGGGUCAAGGCAUAUCCUAAUCGUUUUAUCAGGAUUUUCAAUAAUUACUAAACAGUUAACCCAUUCAGAAGGUUCAUUAACUUUGCUUAUUAUACCUAAACCCUCCAGUCUAGACAAUUCUUCUUGUAAUUAGGGUCUAAGCUUCAGAUGUACUCUAUAAGGUGGUUUGGAUGUUGGUAUAGUACCUUGUUUUAAUUUAAUAUCAUACUCCUUGUUAAACUUACCAAUACCGGUGAAUAAAUCAUUAUUAUUUCUAACUAAGUCCUCCAUAUUAAGUCUAUCUUCUGUUAUCACUGAUUACACCCUCUUAACUAAAUUUAAUCAGACACAUGCAUCACAACACAAUAUAGGCAUUGAAUUUUCAUUACCCGCAACACAAAAUGUCUGUUGAUAUGUUUUAUUGUUCACAACAAUAUUUAUGGUAGCCAACCCUGUUAUGGGCGUCUUUGACCUGUUCUCAGGUUGUGUUGUGUCUGUUUAAGUUUUGCACGUGUUCAAUAAAAUAAUAGGAUUUGUCCUAUCCAUUUUCUCAUGCAAAUGUUCUGGUAAUAUAUUAACGUCUGUCAGAGUAUAAGGGAUUUCACAUCAGAAGCGGUUCUCUGCAAACAAUUAUUGAAUGAAAGUCUGUGAGGUCUAACAAUUCCCACUAUGAAUGUUACCAAUAAACCCUGAGUGGCAGAGAAUGACCUUGAGUGGAGUCACGCACUUGUUAACGAUGUGUGUAGGGUUAAAGGCGCCUUUGACAGAUAUCUAACACUCCACUUUUCCACUCAAGUCACUCUCCCCGCCUAUCCCAAGUAACCAAUAAAGAAUUGCACAACAAGAGAUGUGGACGGCUCGAACGCCGCAGCACACUGAAGCGGUCCGUACCGCAAGUCGUUGCAACGCGGCGAUAACACGUCAGCUCUUAGAUCCAAUUUAAAGUUUAUCUUUAAAUCACCAGGAAGUAUCACCUCUUGGAACCAAGCCUUAGAUUUUAGGGGAUUCACCUUAAGCCCAUACUGUCUGCUCCAGGUAUCAAUUGCGCUAAGGUGAAAGUUUAUAGCAGAGACAGUUGAGCUAAGGUUCUCAAGAGAUGAUGAGCGGCAUAUUUGUACCCCUGCCGUAACAUCACACCAAGAUGAAAAGAAGUCAUCAACCCGAAUGCGCUGCUUACGCUGCUGCCUUUGAGGUAGCUCUGAAACCAGUCUAUAACCGAUGGAGAUAUGUUAAUAGAGCGUAAUAGACUCAACAAAAUGUCAUAGUCUACAGAAUUAAAAGCAUUCAAAUCAAGCAGAACUAGGACAGUGAGUUGUCUAUUGUCCAUCGCCCAACGAAUAUCGUCAGUAACUUUAGUCAAAGCGGUAACCGUACCAUGACCAGGACGAAAACCAGAUUGUAACGGACUUAAAAGUAAAUUUCGGUUUAAUAAUACGGAGAACUGCUGGAAGACAAGUUUUUCAAGGACUUUAGAAAGGAACGGUAAAAUAGAAAUUGGACGGAACAAAUUUUAUUAGGAAGAGGAAUAAUUUGUAACUUUGUGUUGACUAUGUUAAAUUUAAUUUAUUUAACCCCGCUCCGCUUACCCCUGUCCAAAGACGUAAGAGGAGCGGAGAUUUUAUGCAAUCUUAUUGGUUAAUAUUUCUCCGUUUCUCAUUAUAAUAUAUAAAAUUCAUUUAAAAAAUCGAAAAAAUCAUAAUUGUGUACAUUUGUAAAUUAUAAAAAUGAAUACUAAGAAAUUAUAUUAUGACAUAUAGUUAUUGUUGUUUUCUGUUCUCUAUCGCCGAUCUAUACUCUAGGAUAUCUAUGGUAUUUUCCGUUGGCGGUGUUCUCUGUCUACGGAUAAGUUACGCGCACUUGGCAAAAGCGUUACCAUAGCAACCAAUCGUGUAAACUCAUUCCAAUAAACGGGAAACUUUUUGUAUUUUAAAAAAUACUCUGUAAUUGUAAAUAGGUUUUAUUAUAAAUGUAUUUAAUAUGUUGUACAUAUUUAGGGAGAAGUGUAAAUAAUGCUAUGUGAACAAUUCAAACGAUGUCUCAGUGAUAAUAUCGGAUGACCUAUUUAUAAUGUCAAGGUAACAAAUAAAAUAUUCAUUGUAAUGCUUAGAUCAAUACUUUUGUAAUAUUAAUUAUUGACUACGUUGUUUUGAACAAAACCAGCCAAGUGCGAGUCGGUGUUUGGCUGGUGGGGGGCUUCGGCCGAGGCUAGUUACCACCUAAUCGGCAAACACCGCCAAGCGAUUUAGCGUUCCGAUACGAUAUCGUGUAGAAACCGAAAGGGGUGUGGAUUAUCAUCCUCCUCCUAACGAGUUAGUCCGCUUCUAUUUUAGAUCGUAUCAACACUAACCAUCAGGUGAGAUUGUAAUCAAGGGCUUACUUGUAAAAAAAAGACUCUCGUACGUAGUGUUCUGUACCUUAAUGUAUUAAAGUACUAGCGGACGCCUGCGUCUUCGUCCGCGUGGAAUUUAGUUUUUCACAAAUCCCUCGGGAACCAUGGAUUUUUCCGGGAUGAAAAGUAAUCUGUGUGUUAAUCCAAAGUAAAAUGUAUUACUAUUCUAAAUUUCCAGCCAAAUCGGUUCAGUAGUUGCGGUGUUAAAGAGUAACAAACAUCCAAACAAACUUUCGCGUUUGUUUGUAAAAGUAGCAGCCAACGACCGCAAGUGUCGACCACCUUCGUGGCUUUUUUUUUUAUUCUGUACAAGUUAGCCCUUUACUACAAUCUCACCUGAUGGUAAGUGAUGAUGCAGUCUAAGAUGGAAGCGAGCUAACUUGUUAGGAGGAGGAUGAAAAUCCACACUCCUUUCGGUUUCUACACGACAUCGUACCGGAACGCUAAAUCGCUUGGCGGUACGUCUUUGUCGGUCCACCCAGACCUGGAUAAAUUAAGAAAACCUCAAUCAGCCCAGCCGGGGAUCGAACCCAGGACCUCCGUCUUGUAAGUUCACUGCGCCAGUGAGGAGGCUGUCCGCGCUUCGGCUACUUUUGUGGCCUUUUUACCUUUCUUGUUUCUUAUGGCGUUUGUCUGUCUGUCGUUUGUGGCCCGUGUGUGGUGACACUUACGUGGAUUGCAUUGUUUCCAGAUAAAUUGAUAUAUUCAACAUGUCAACUAAAAUAUCUGCUGGCAAAAAGACAAAACGGGAAACGUCAAAGGACGACAUUGUAGCGAAGAAACCCGAAGAAAAAUUAAAGAACAGCAUAUACAGCGUAUCAACUCCACGUAAUUUUGUCCAAAAGCCGUUAGCUGCAGAUAUUUACGCGAGAAAGAGCAAUGUGCAAAGUUUGAAAGCUUCUAAAAAACUAUCGUCCCCCAAUAAAACUAGUAAUGAAUCCCCUAUGAAGGAUUUACUUAAAUCGUCUCCGUCAAACGUAAGCCUAACAAGUACAAAGAGUUAUAGAGUAAAACCUGCCCUUGAUUCUAAAUUAACUGCUAAACCUAACGCACCUUCAUCAAGACAUGCUGUCACUAAAAAGUUACCUUUCACAAACUCUCCAAUAGCUAAAAAAAGAUUGAAUGUAGAUGAUGAACAAAAAAAGACGAAAGAUAAGAAAACAAUUGAUAAUAAAGAUGUUAAACACAAAGAUAAGAAAAGAUCAGAGCAAAUACAAAGCGUAGAGGUGGUUAAAAGAAAAGAAAUAGUUAAUCCUUCAGUGGUGUUGCCAGAACGUAAACGAACUAAAACGAGGACUUUGGACGACGAAGAAAUAAAAAUUCUGACACCUGAUGUAGUAGAUAAUAAUUUAGAAAUGUUAAAUAUGAAUAAGAAACUAACUGCACAGCCAAAAGCGUUUUAUGUGGAUUUAAAUGUACAGAAACCCAAGCCGCCCCAAAAAGCUUUGGAACAAAAAAGAGAAAUUGAGGAAGAAGUUGAUUAUGAAGACGACUUUGAAAGUUACGAAUCAGACUUCGAUUCGUACCAAAGUGAAUCACUAAAUGAUGACACUAGUUUGUCAAAUGAUUCUCGUAGCAAUAACGAUGACGAUGGAGAUGUUUGUAAAUGUCACGAUGAUCAUUCAUUUGAUAGUAAUUUACAAGAAAGUGAUGAAUCACACUUAAAAGAGGAAAGGAUGCUCGAUUCUGGCAAUUUCGAACUACCCGAUCCACGUUCAGCGGGAAAAACAAAACCGAUGGACCAUAUCGUGGAGGGUUCUGAAGAUAUUGAGAAGAGGGUGUCCUUAACCGACGAAGGCUUUCAAGACAUGACUGGCUCUGGUCUAUCUAGCAUGAAAACCUUGCAUGUUGAUGUUCUAGACAGACCACUCUUCAUAGACUUCACAAAAUCCAAAGUGAAUCGACGUAAAAGGAAGAUUUUCGAGAGGCUCAAACAACGGGCCGAUGAUAUACUCAGUAUGGUGACUUUGCAUGAAAUGUCAUAUGAUUUAUACGAAAUGAAACCCAUACCCUACGAUUUGUAUAUGGCAACAUUUGGUAGAUUUAAUUAUACGCAAACUGCUGUGCAGACUUUUGAUGAUGGUAUCACCGAGGAAGUCCAAACUGACGAAAUAGUAAUGACUGACAAAUGGACACAAAAUCCUAUAGAAUUUUCUAAUAAUUAUCAUUUUAACACUAAAACGAGUGAUAAAAUUAAUAAAAGAGAUAGUGUGGAUAAUUUUGAAUUUCUUAUUCAUAACGUUCAGGAUGAUGCAAAUGAAAUAAUCGAUGAAAGUUAUUUCACUAAUCCUUUAAGAAUUUAUUUAGAGCAGAAAGACGGUGUUAGUACAAAUAAAAUGUUGCCAUAUGAAAACUAUAAAAAGAAAUUAAAAAACGUUGAAUACGAACCGAAAAAGUUGAGGAAAUUUCUCAAAAAAAUGGAAAGCAGAGUUAGUAAUAUACUUAAUAAAAACUCUGGGAACUCUUUAUCGAAUCUGAACCAAACGUCGAAGUUCCCUUUUAGUAAAGAAUACUUAUUAAUAAGCAAUACAAAUAUGACAGAAGAUUAUUCUUUUUUAAACAACACACGUAUAAUAGCUGCCAUAUAUUCUGAUACUAAAACUAAUAUGAUAGCGAUGGUGCAUAGUAAGUUACCAAGCAAAUUAAAAAAGUGUGUCAUAUCGUUGUGGGAUUUAGGUGUUGCCAUGUUGAAGCCUUUGAAAAUACUGAUAGCUACUGAUGACGUCACAAUUGGAAGGUUUAGAGGCAGCAUUAGUGGUUUUAUUGUCGGAGGGUUGUGUGACGGGUCCAUUCUACUGUGGGACCUGUCAGAAGAGCCGACUUGGUUUGACCAUGACACUACUGAAGAAGACAGUGAAAUUGAUUUAAAAGUACAAAGUGGAAAUAAAUGUGAUGAUAGUAAUAAAAAUGGCAACAUUCAAACUCUGAAGAAACACACACUACAAGCUAGUUCGUAUACAAGCAGCGCUUUCAAUGUAUGUAACAACCUAGUGACAGACAAAAUCGUAGGCUUGGAGUUUAUGGGAGAGAACUCGAAUGUGGAUCACGACCGGAGGGUAUUGGUUCAGCUAUGUGCGCUACAGAGUAUAGGCAUCCUCACAAUAUGGUCUAUAAUACAGGAGAAGGCUAGAAAUUUCAAACACGAGCUCGGAAAGGCUCUGUGGUCCAAAAUGAAAUUAGAAAGAAACCAAACUAUAAAUCUAAUGCAAUACAUAGAAAUGCCAAUACAGGAUAUAGAAAUGGCGAAUUUGAGUUUCAAUUUGAACACGGCGAAGAAACGAAUGUUAAAAAAACGUAACGAAAGGCACAAAUACAAAAUUACUCGUCCGAAGUCCGCCAUUUUAAAAGACGAAAGUAAAAGAUCGAUUGAUUGUGAUUCUUGGGGUAAUGGUGUUGUUUGCAAUCAUUUAAAAGUUAUGAAAUUGAAUGGUGUUGAAAAUUUUUUGGUUGCUAAAUGUGGUGGAGAAGUCUUGUGUUGUAAGAGAGACGUCGGCAGUGUUAGAGUUAAAGUGAUCUGUAUCGCUGAAAUGGUCCGUCAUUGGCAGUAGAAAAAUGUCUUUCAGACAGUAAAGGGAGAUAUUUGGGAAGCGUUUCAGUCAGUACUGGUUCAUCGGAAGAUUACAAAGAAUCUAAGCUACCAAUCACAAGCAUCGCCUGGUUACAUCCAAACCCCUUCUGUAUCACUGCGACGCUGGCGACCGGUGCAGUUGUGUGGGUGUUGACCCAUAGCGACAUGAGAGCUAAGUGCAGAGGCGACGGACUCGCUUGCACCA